Long non-coding RNA from Athalia rosae (coleseed sawfly), 1357 nucleotides. RefSeq lists it as uncharacterized. The record is from RefSeq and is a predicted model, not a curated record. Lineage: Eukaryota; Metazoa; Arthropoda; Insecta; Hymenoptera; Athaliidae. The transcript has 3 exons.
UUCGAUGUUGCUUGGUUCCAUUGUCCAUCCCCCCAAAUUGCAAAUUUCUGAAGACUGUAGCCUCUGAUCCUCUGAGUGUUUACCAUUUCGAGACCAAGAACGCAAUUACCUGAAUGAAGGACUUGUUUCCAGAUGUUGACCGGAUAUUUUCUAUCUUUGCCUUCCGUUCCUGAUUUCUUUUCGAUUUUCAGUCAAUUUUUCAAUUGAUCCGCCAAUAACUGCACCUCCUAGCCUUCCUGGGGAUUUCUGUUAUCCAGAACCGAUGGGACGUCAUCCUGGAUUUAUUCCCGAUUCAUUCCUGAUUCUUUUGCGACUUGUUUCCGAUUUUUUAAAAUAUGUUUGAAUUUUACCGCUGCUGGUCACGUCUGCGCAUUUGCCGAUACAGCUAGCGCUGAGUGGCGGAAUUUUCGUGAACGACAAAAACUAGUGCUAUCUGAUGGACUUUUCGAAAACUGAUUUCAGCGCAAGUCCACAUGGGGUAAGUUACCUACGAACAAUUCAUCGUCAUCGGUCGGUCCGUGGAUAUCGGUCGGCGAAUCCGGUUAGGGUAUAUUUCCUACGAACAAUUCAUCGUCAUCGGUCGGUCCAUGGAUAUCGGUCGGCAAAUCCGCAUAGGGUAUAUUUCCUACGAACAAUUCAUCGUCAUCGGUCGGUAUCAGAUCUGAUGACUUACUGAUCAAAAACUCGUGACACACCUUUGAUGUUCCAUCGGAGCAUGUUCUUUAAAUCGAAGUUGAACACAACCCCGACGUUGACGAAUACUAAUGAUGACAUGUCAUUGAAUUUACUCCUUUGUCCAGGUAAUUGCAUUCUUGGUCUCGACACGGAAAAAACCCAGAGGAUCAGAGGCUACAGUCUUCAGGUAUUUGCAAUUUUCGGGCCUGGACAAUAAAUCCAAGCAACUGCGAAGUUACGUGUCAGUCUUAUUUUAAUAUGGAUACAGCGUCUAAAUGAAAAAUGCAGAAAAAUCGUUGGGGUUCUCCGUUCGAUUUGCGAUGCUGCUCUUUGACAGAACUUCGCACGUGUUGUCCAUUUUGUCGCAUUUCUGAACGGAAAAAUGGAGAUCUCUCGACGAGUAUCAGGAAUUGCUCGGUCCAGUCGACACGCUCGUUUUCCUGAAGCCGUAAUAUAGACGUAGCAAUAUCAAGAUAUUCCGAUGGUUUCGGCUCGUGGCACAAUUGACUCGACGAAUUUAAGUCCAAUUUAUCCAACGGCCGGUCGAUUGAUGAGCUAAUUAUUCAUUAAUUAUUCGCUGUUGGGAGCACAAAAAUUAUAAGACAUAUCGAUUUUUUUUAGUCGUAGACGCACUGUGAUUCGUCGCAAUCCAUGCAUGGGUCGAAAUAUUCGAAUUUCUCGG